GAUGAACGCUGGCGGCGUGCUUAACACAUGCAAGUCGAACGAAAAGACGCGGAUUUUGCUUGUCUCACGUUAGCCGCGCGCGUGUGAGAAACGCGUGUAUAACGCACUUAUAAGUCUGGGAUCACUAGGGGACACCGGAGCUAAUACCAUAUGAUAUAUUGAACCGCAGGGUUGAAUGGAAAAUUUCGGUUUUCGGGUCUGUAAUAGCUGGUUCGGGGCUGGAUUAGCUUGUUGGUAAGGUAACGGCUUACCAAGGCUACGAUGCGUAGCCGAACUGAGAGGAGGAUAGGCCACCCUGGAACUGAGACACGGACCAGACUCCUGCGGGAGGCAGCAGUGGGGAAUGUUCGGCAAUGGGCGAAAGCCUGACCGAGCAAGGCCGCGUGAGAGAUGAAGGUCUUCGGAUCGUAAACCUCUGUUAUUAGGGAAGAACAGAUUUGGACUUAAAUGUGGAGGUCGUGACGGUACCGGAUCAAAAAGCACCGGCUAACUACGUG
This 497-nucleotide ribosomal RNA is filed under the name uncultured bacterium. RNAcentral's name for it is "partial 16S ribosomal RNA". It matches the Rfam family "Bacterial small subunit ribosomal RNA", at positions 28 to 507 of the family's 1533-position model. The record is from RNAcentral.